UUGCAAUCAGAAAAUGCAGAGUAUUUGCAUGAAUAGACAACAAGAGAAACAUCCAGAAGAUAGAGGAGAGGGGUUGAAUACAUUGUGCCAAUGAUAGAAAGCAAGCCUACCAGCUGGAGAACAAAUAAGCUGAUAAGACUCCUGGAAAAAAAUAACAAAUGCAAGAAAACAUCUGGAGAUGAGGUGCACACAAAGCCAAGCAUUCAUGUCGAUCAAGCCCCUGGAUGGCAAUUGAGCCUCUGAUCCUCCUUUUAACUUGAUGUUUUGAUGACCUGAAGACAUCCAAAGAAGAAAGUGCUGUUCCAGGAAAAGAACUGGACCAAAUUCAAAAGUUAAUGCUGGAGAAGAAACAAGGAAGUUGAAGUAAACAACAUUAAGGAAGGGUAAGCAAAGUGACAAAUCACAGCAAAUAAUUGACAAUUUAUUCCUACCAAGCCAAA
Molecule: long non-coding RNA, 440 nt
Filed under: Phascolarctos cinereus (koala)
Lineage: Eukaryota; Metazoa; Chordata; Mammalia; Diprotodontia; Phascolarctidae
Description: lncRNA (ENSPCIG00000031222.1)
Source: RNAcentral